This 480-nucleotide ribosomal RNA is filed under the name Babesia sp. Its description in RNAcentral is "SSU rRNA". It matches the Rfam family "Eukaryotic small subunit ribosomal RNA", at positions 510 to 1027 of the family's 1831-position model. Lineage: Eukaryota; Apicomplexa; Aconoidasida; Piroplasmida; Babesiidae. The record is from RNAcentral.
UGGAAUGAUGGGAAUUUAAACCUCUUCCAGAGUAUCAAUUGGAGGGCAAGUCUGGUGCCAGCAGCCGCGGUAAUUCCAGCUCCAAUAGCGUAUAUUAAAAUUGUUGCAGUUAAAAAGCUCGUAGUUGAAUUUCUGCUGCAUUGCUUGUGUCCCUCUGGGGUCUGUGCAUGUGGCUUUUUUCGGACGGAGUUUCUUUGUCUGAAUGUUUACUUUGAGAAAAUUAGAGUGCUCAAAGCAGGCUUUCGCCUUGAAUAGUUUAGCAUGGAAUAAUAAAGUAGGACUUUGGUUCUAUUUUGUUGGUUUUAGGUACCAAAGUAAUGGUUAAUAGGAACAGUUGGGGGCAUUCGUAUUUAACUGUCAGAGGUGAAAUUCUUAGAUUUGUUAAAGACGAACUACUGCGAAAGCAUUUGCCAAGGAUGUUUUCAUUAAUCAAGAACGAAAGUUAGGGGAUCGAAGACGAUCAGAUACCGUCGUAGUCCU